RNAcentral lists this ribosomal RNA (508 nucleotides) under uncultured bacterium. Its description in RNAcentral is "partial 16S ribosomal RNA". It matches the Rfam family "Bacterial small subunit ribosomal RNA", at positions 28 to 523 of the family's 1533-position model. The record is from RNAcentral.
GAUGAACGCUAGCUACAGGCUUAACACAUGCAAGUCGAGGGGAAACGAUAGAGAAAGCUUGCUUUUUCUAGGCGUCGACCGGCGCACGGGUGAGUAACGCGUAUCCAACCUGCCCAUCACUUGGGGAUAACCUUGCGAAAGUAAGACUAAUACCCAAUGAUAUCUCUAGAAGACAUCUGAAGGAGAUUAAAGAUUUAUCGGUGAUGGAUGGGGAUGCGUCUGAUUAGCUUGUUGGCGGGGUGACGGCCCACCAAGGCGACGAUCAGUAGGGGUUCUGAGAGGAAGGUCCCCCACAUUGGAACUGAGACACGGUCCAAACUCCUACGGGAGGCAGCAGUGAGGAAUAUUGGUCAAUGGGCGAGAGCCUGAACCAGCCAAGUAGCGUGCAGGAUGACGGCCCUAUGGGUUGUAAACUGCUUUUAUAAGGGAAUAAAGUGAGUCUCGUGAGGCUUUUUGCAUGUACCUUAUGAAUAAGGACCGGCUAAUUCCGUGCCAGCCGCCGCCGUAA